AAGAAGAAGGAGAUGAAGAAAUUAAAGUGCAUUAAAUGAAAUAGUAUGUGUUAAUCAACAAGCAAUGACCAAAGAUAGAGAAGAUCAAGGUCAAAUAAUAGAAAACAGAAGCAAAAUGAGAAUUAGAAGUCAAGAAACAAAUAAAAUAUUUUUGGCAUUUUUUUAAUAUUUGAAAAUAAACCUGAAUUAAAAUAUUAAAGAAAGGUCAAACUUCA
RNAcentral lists this long non-coding RNA (215 nucleotides) under Lathyrus oleraceus (garden pea). RNAcentral describes it as "Pisum sativum (pea) long non-coding RNA (PSAT_LNC006198)". Lineage: Eukaryota; Viridiplantae; Streptophyta; Magnoliopsida; Fabales; Fabaceae. The record is from RNAcentral.